AAUAUUGCACAAUGGGGGAAACCCUGAUGCAGCGCCGCCUCGUUAGCGAAUAAGGCCUUCGGGUCGUAAAGCUCUGUCCUAAGGGAAGAAACGGACUGUACCUUAGGAGGAAGCCUCGGCUAUCUUCGUGCCAGCAGCCGCGGUAAUACGUAGGGGGCGAGCGUUAUCCGGAAUUAUUGGGCGUAAAGGGUGCGUAGGCGGCAUUUUAAGUCAAAUGUGAAAGGCAACGGCUUAACCGUAGUUAGCAUUUGAAACUAAAAGGAUUGAGUGCAGGAGAGGAGAGUGGAAUUCCUAGUGUAGCAGUGAAAUGCGUAGAUAUUAGGAGGAACACCAGUGGCGAAGGCGACUCUCUGGACUGCAACUGACGCUGAGGCACGAAAGCGUGGGGAGCGAAC
Molecule: ribosomal RNA, 395 nt
Filed under: uncultured bacterium
Lineage: Bacteria
Description: partial 16S ribosomal RNA
Rfam family: Bacterial small subunit ribosomal RNA
Source: RNAcentral